GUUACCGCGAAACUCUACUUGAUCCUGGCUGUUGUGGGAGGAGGAAAUAACGUAGAGACCCAGUUUCAUGAUGUGAUAAGAGGAUUUUGGAGGUUUGUUUCCUACAUUUCCCAGAAUGCCAUUCAACAAUCCCAGAGGACACACAGUAUGUCAACGUCACACCACUGCAAACAAAAAUGCCAUUCAAUAAUCCCAGAGGACACACAGUAUGUCAACGUCACACCACUGCAAACAAAGUGAGUAAAUUAAUA
This is a long non-coding RNA of Perca fluviatilis (European perch), 251 nucleotides long. RefSeq lists it as uncharacterized. The transcript has 3 exons. Lineage: Eukaryota; Metazoa; Chordata; Actinopteri; Perciformes; Percidae. The record is from RefSeq and is a predicted model, not a curated record.